RNAcentral lists this signal recognition particle RNA (98 nucleotides) under Candidatus Aphodenecus pullistercoris. RNAcentral describes it as "signal recognition particle sRNA small type". It matches the Rfam family "Bacterial small signal recognition particle RNA". From Rfam's summary of the family: The signal recognition particle (SRP) is a universally conserved ribonucleoprotein involved in the co-translational targeting of proteins to membranes. Lineage: Bacteria; Pseudomonadati; Spirochaetota; Spirochaetia; Spirochaetales. The record is from RNAcentral.
UGACAGAUACCAGGCAAUGGAUGCCUCCCAACCCCGCCAGGACAGGAAUGUAGCAACGGUCAGAGGACGUUUCAUGUGACCUGGACCAUUUGUUGCCG